RNAcentral lists this ribosomal RNA (734 nucleotides) under Pulveroboletus sinensis. RNAcentral's name for it is "eukaryotic LSU rRNA". The stretch from base 289 to 443 matches the Rfam family "5.8S ribosomal RNA". Lineage: Eukaryota; Fungi; Basidiomycota; Agaricomycetes; Boletales; Boletaceae. The record is from RNAcentral.
AAGUCGUAACAAGGUUUCCGUAGGUGAACCUGCGGAAGGAUCAUUAUUGAAUUUACAAGGGGGAGAAGGAAAAAAGGAGAAAGGACGGGAAGGGAAAGACUGUCGCUGGGGGUAGGAUUUCCCUGUGCACGUCAUGCCUCUUCUCUGUGUUUUUGAUCCUGUUCCUCUCUUUCCUUCACAUACACACACACCCUUGUGCACCUGUUGUAGGUCUUUGACAAGAAGAUCUAUGUUUCUUCACAUCACACCUUAUCGUAUGUCCAUAGAAUGUAUGGGAAAAUGAUAUACAACUUUCAGCAACGGAUCUCUUGGCUCUCGCAUCGAUGAAGAACGCAGCGAAUUGCGAUAAGUAAUGUGAAUUGCAGAUUUUCAGUGAAUCAUCGAAUCUUUGAACGCAUCUUGCGCUCCUUGGUAUUCCGAGGAGCAUGCCUGUUUGAGUGUCAUUAAAUUCUCAACCAUGUGUCUUGAUUGAUUUUCAUGGCUUGGAGGUUGGGGGUUGCUGGCGGCGAUCUGGCUGUUGGCUCUCCUGAAAUGCAUUAGCAAAAAGAAGGGGGGGUGUGAAUGUCUUUUUGGCAUGCACGGCCUUUGACGUGAUAAUGAUCGUCGUGGCUGGAGUGUCUGGAAAUCUAUCUCUCCCUCUCCCUCAUGCUUCUAAUAUUGUAUGCUAGUCAGUUUUCUGACUGGCUUCAUUGCGACUUGACCUCAAAUCAGGUAGGACUACCCGCUGAACUUAA